This 301-nucleotide ribosomal RNA is filed under the name uncultured bacterium. RNAcentral's name for it is "partial 16S ribosomal RNA". It matches the Rfam family "Bacterial small subunit ribosomal RNA", at positions 509 to 807 of the family's 1533-position model. The record is from RNAcentral.
CAGCAGCCACGGUAAUACGAAGGGUGCAAGCGUUACUCGGAAUUACUGGGCGUAAAGCGUGCGUAGGUGGUGGUUUAAGUCCGUUGUGAAAGCCCUGGGCUCAACCUGGGAAUUGCAGUGGAUACUGGCAAGCUAGAGUGUGUCAGAGGAUGGUGGAAUUCCCGGUGUAGCGGUGAAAUGCGUAGAGAUCGGGAGGAACAUCAGUGGCGAAGGCCGCCAUCUGGGACAACACUGACGCUGAGGCACGAAAGCGUGGGGAGCAAACAGGAUUAGAUACCCCUGUAGUCCCUGUCUCUUAUAC